Molecule: transfer RNA, 56 nt
Filed under: Nippostrongylus brasiliensis
Lineage: Eukaryota; Metazoa; Nematoda; Chromadorea; Rhabditida; Heligmosomidae
Rfam family: tRNA
About the family: Transfer RNA (tRNA) molecules are approximately 80 nucleotides in length. Their secondary structure includes four short double-helical elements and three loops (D, anti-codon, and T loops).
Source: Rfam by way of RNAcentral
GCCUCAUUGGCUCAGGGGCAGAGCGUCUGUCUAGUAAACAGAAGGUCGCUGGUUCG